UUACCAGACUCCUACGGGAGGCAGCAGUGGGGGAUAUUGCACAAUGGGGGGAACCCUGAUGCAGCGACGCCGCGUGGGUGAAGGAGCGUUUCGGCGCGUAAAGCCCUGUCAGCAGGGAAGAAAAUGACGGUACCUGAAGAAGAAGCCCCGGCUAACUACGUGCCAGCAGCCGCGGUAAUACGUAGGGGGCAAGCGUUAUCCGGAUUUACUGGGUGUAAAGGGGGCGCAGACGGCGAUGCAAGCCAGGAGUGAAAGCCCGGGGCCCAACCCCGGGACUGCUCUUGGAACUGCGUGGCUGGAGUGCAGGAGGGGCAGGCGGAAUUCCUGGUGUAGCGGUGAAAUGCGUAGAUAUCAGGAGGAACACCGGCGGCGAAGGCGGCCUGCUGGACCGCGACUGACGUUGAGGCUCGAAAGCGUGGGGAGCGAACAGGAUUAGAUACCCGAGUA
Molecule: ribosomal RNA, 447 nt
Filed under: uncultured bacterium
Lineage: Bacteria
Description: bacterial SSU rRNA
Rfam family: Bacterial small subunit ribosomal RNA
Source: RNAcentral